UUUUUUUUUUCCAGAAAUGACUUUGGAUCAUAUAUAUGUAUGUAGACUUUUCCCCCUGCCAGAAAACUAAAAGUAUAGAAGCCAAAAAUUUAACAAGGAUUAUUUUGAGGUUGAUAACUGUUUUCUUCUUUUUUCUUUUCUAUAUCUCCCAAUUUUUCUAGAGUUUUUUCCCUAUGAUUUUUCUUCAUUUGGAAUCAGAAAAAAAAAAAAAAAACCCACUGCUAAUGAUUACUUUUUAGUUGAAUUUGAAGGAAAUCCUUUCUCGGGUUGAGUCCAGGUGUUUUGCUCGGUUGAGAAUGGACAUUGGUAAGCAUUAGUGGUUCAAAAUUCCUCUUCCUCGCCAAAUGAUGAAUAAUGGGUGGUUACUUUCACACCCACCGGGCUUCACGAGGUUGGAAAACGGAACUGGGCCCAGAUUCAUUAGACCGGAUGUAAAUUCUCCAAAAGCAGUUGUUUGAUUUUCUAACUCAAUUUAAUGCCUCUUCGACAUCAUUAGUAGAAUCAGGAGCCUCCCUUUCUUUGAGAGCAGCGAAAUGACUCAUUCUUUAGGCGUUCCCAUUAUGGUGCAGCGGAAGUGAAUCUGACGAGAAUCCAUGAGGUUGUGGGUUCCAUCCCUGGCCUUGCUCAGUGGGUUAAGGAUCCAGCAUUGCCGUGAACUGUGGUGUAGGCCACAGAUGCGGCUCGAAUCCCACGUUGCUGUGGCUAUGGUGUAGGCCAGCAGCUGUAGCUCUGAUUCGACCCCUAGCCUGGGAACCUCCAUAUGCCGCAGGGGGAGCCCUAAAAAGGAAAAAGGGGGGGGCAAAAAAAACCCACAACUAAUAAUUCUUUAAAACUGGGCCUCAGUUUGCAAAGGCUCCCAGACCUUGAGCUAGCUGGCUGGGCAAAGUCAAUAUGGGACUAUUUGAAUUUCUAAACUAAAGGGUCCCCAGAGCAUUAGGAUUUUUUCCCCCCUCUAUUCUUAUUGUGUAAAGGAAACUUUAUUCCAACUCAGAUUCAUUUCUCUUCGAAUCAGCUGCAAGAGAAUGAACAAACUUUGCUGCAAAUCAAGGCCCUGACAGUUAUAUUUCCCGGAGAUAAUUGCAUACUGCUUCGGCGUUUCCUUCUCCCCUCUGUUUCCUUUUGUUCUGACAACAAGAUUCUGGGAAAACAAUAUACAAAUGAUAACUAUGCUGUCCUGAGCAUACUGAAUUUUAAAAAUAAAUAACUGUCUACCCCAAAAGCUUCCAGGAGCCUAUGGAGUGAAUUCUUCUUCCAAACCAGAUGUGGAAAUGUUUAGCUAAUGCCCCUCCCCGUUCCCCAUGCAAAGAGUUCGUAUGUGUCUCUAAACAACAUCAGAGGAGAUGCAGAGGGAAAAUCCGGUCUGCUUUCAAGGAGCUUUGUGUUACACGUCUCGAUUCGCUCACCAACAUCCCAAAACUAAUUUGGACUUCAGCUUUCGUCUCUCUUAAAAAAGAUUCUCCCCCCACCCCCCGAGAUUAAAAACACACUGUGUUCAGACCAAUAUUCAAUCUCUUUCUUGUAAGACGUUAAGAGAUAGAGUUCAUAUUCCCGGAAUGAAACAUUUCAUGAUUUUCUUAAAAUGUAAAGGAUAUAUUAAGAAUUAGGCUUAUUAGGAAAACCUAAUUUUUUUUUUUAUGAAGGGGAAGGAGGAAAGCGCUUUUAAAAGCACGAUUGGAAAAUGUAUAUGCAUAAACCACAUUUAGAAAAACAGAAAGCUACUGUACGCUGCAGCUGCAAGGAAAGCAAACAUUUUGCAUCCAGGUGUCAUUAGCAUCAUUAGCAGCUCUGCUUUUGCCGGCCCCUCUAUCGCUCAGUUCAGGACUGUAGGUGCCAAUAGCUGAGCCCUGCUUGGCUCUGCAGAGGCAUCUAAGCUCCUCGCUUCUGAAAUGCAGCAGGGAUCAUGUGCAAGCAAGCCAAAAUGGGGUUAUGAUAAUGCAAAGCCUGGGACCUGCUUUCUAACAGCCCAGCCGCCUGGACAACCUGGGCGGUAACCCCAAGAUGAGCGCUCCCUUCUCCCCACUCUGCAACUGCCUUCGCUCCGGGGAGGCUGGGCACAGCCCCCACUCUGGCUAAAAAGGCCUCUGUUUUGGCACACACCCCCGCCCCGCUGCACAACCCUCUCUUCUGGCACCCCUUUCCCAUCUCUAGCCCCUCGGCCCUCUUUCUCCUCUGCCCCCAGAUCCGAGCCCAGCAUCUCCCUCCCUGUCCAAGAUCCCAUCCUGCCCGCACAUCUCAGCUGGAUGUUAGAAAAGCCAGCUGAUUUGAGGAAUUCACACUGUGUUGUGAAAUGACUUAUAACCAUCCCUCAGCAGACACACACCCACACAUUCCCCCCCACCCGUCCGCACACAUACAACCUCCACCCUUCCCUGGGAAUUGCAGGCAGCAGGGAAGGGAGGCUACGCAGAUCUGAUGACCUGUGUGUGCUCAGCAGAAGAGAGCAACUCCCCAAGAGCCGCUGAGCUAGGCGUUGGCAAGUUCAUUAGCAAGUGCAUUCUGCUCUCCCACGACCUCCCAACUCCUCCCUCUCACCUUCGAGAUGCAGUCUCUAAACGUGGGUCCCACUGACUUCAUUUUUCAGUUGUAUCUGAGCUCAAAGGUAUGUUGUCACAUGCGUUCAUUGCUCCGACCUUGUGGCAAUCUCUCCUUGGCUACAAGAAAGUCAGAGGAAACAGAGUCUGCCCUGUCCGAGUUUGGAGAUUUGCGCUAAAGAAACCCUCAAACUCAGUGGUGUUACUAAACCCCUUCCUUCAAGACUGAUUCAGUGCAAUGCAAUUCAACAAGUGGAUGCCGGGGGCGGGAGUGGGGUGGGUAGGGAAAAAAAAAAACGGUGAGGUGAGAAGGGAGAGGAUAGAAGUGAUGUUUGAAGGGGAGAAAGGAAGAGGGUGGCUAACUCCCUGCACAAGAACACAGCCUUACACUUGAGUCUCAAUUCUGGGUUUCGAACAACAAAGUUGGAGCGGAAAGGGGGGUUUCCCUGGUCGAUUUCAGCAGCGACGUAAGAGGGGGGCUGUUUAGGGCGAAGCACUCCUAAAGCAAGCUCAGGCCAAGGACCAGGCUUAGACCAAGACAAUAUGCAGCAGCGAUGGAGUGAUGCUCUCAGCUUCCAAAAGGAACCUCAGCAAACCUGCAUCAUCCCAGAGCAAAUGGUUUGCUUAUUCAACUGUUGCAUCGUCGUUAUCCAGGACCAGCUGGCAUCAGAAUUUACUUGGUUUUUGCUGUUAUUGUCGUUGUCGUUGUAUUGUCUUUUUUUCCUCUUUUUUUUUUUUUUUUUUUUGAGGGGUAAGAGGGUUGGGGUUUUUUGUUUGUUGCUGCUGCUUCUGUUUCUUUGGUUUGGUUUGGUUUGGUUUUUUGCUUCUUGAAAAACAAAUUUAAAAAGCUGUCCUGGAGUUCCUGUUGUGGCGCAGCAGAAACGAAUCCGACGAGGAACCAUGAGGUUGCGGGUUCGAUCCCUGGCCUCGCUCAGUGGGUUAAGGAUCUGGCGUUGCCAUGAGCUGUGGUGUAGGUUGCAGAUGUUGCUCGGAUCCUGUGUUGCCGUGGUUCUGGUGUAAGCCAGCAACUGUAGCUCCGAUUCGACCCCUGGCCUGGGAACUUCCAUAUGCUGCGGGUGUGGCCCUAAAAAGCCAUUCUAAGAGAGACAUUUCAGAACAAAGAGGACAGCAAGGAGCCUUGUAGACCUCUUAGGCUUCUCUUUACACCUCAACAUCCCCAAGAGAAUGGGGAGUCCAUAAUGAGAGAGGGAGAGAGGAGGGUACCAAUCAGAUUGAGUGCCUGAUGUAAAAAUCAAGCCUUUCUUCCAGGCGGCUGUACCCUGCUGGUGGGCUCCCCAGCCCUGGUUUCCAUGAAGGAAUGCAGCAAAUUCAUCAGUAUCAAAGGAGGAGAAAGAGCUGCAUUUUUACAACGAGGAAAAAUGGGAGGAGAGACGUGUCUUUGGAUGCUUUACAUUUAGUGCAGUGCUGG
Molecule: long non-coding RNA, 3960 nt
Filed under: Sus scrofa (pig)
Lineage: Eukaryota; Metazoa; Chordata; Mammalia; Artiodactyla; Suidae
Description: lncRNA (ENSSSCG00005024247.1)
Source: RNAcentral